Molecule: ribosomal RNA, 441 nt
Filed under: uncultured bacterium
Lineage: Bacteria
Description: partial 16S ribosomal RNA
Rfam family: Bacterial small subunit ribosomal RNA
Source: RNAcentral
CCUACGGGCGGCAGCAGUGGGGGAUAUUGCACAAUGGGGGGAACCCUGAUGCAGCGACGCCGCGUGGGUGAAGGAGUGCUUCGGCAUGUAAAGCCCUAUCGGCAGGGAAGAAGCAAGACGGUACCUGACUAAGAAGCCCCGGCUAACUAGGUGCCAGCAGCCGCGGUAAUACGUAGGGGGCGAGCGUUAACCGGAGUCACUGGGUGUAAAGGGAGCGGAGACGGCCCUGCAAGCCAGGGGUGAAAGCCCGGGGCCCAACCCCGGGACUGCCCUUGGAACGGUGCGGGUAGAGUGCGGGGGGGGCAGGUGGAAUUCCUGGUGUAGCGGUGAAAUGCGUAGAUAUCAGGAGGAACGCCGGCGGCGAAGGCGGCCUGCUGGACUGCGACUGACGUUGAGGCUCGAAAGCGUGGGGAGCGUACAGGAUUAGAUACCCUAGUAGUC